AUGGGUUUAAUCACACAGUCAGAAUUUACCAAGAUUAAUAAAAUAGUUCCUGCUUGUGAAUUUGCUGUCAAGCUGUGCGGUACCUCUGGCACUGUAUCUUGCUUUGCUGCCUAUUUUGUUUGCAAUACAAUAUUCAGUUCCAUCAGGUUGAUAAUCGGGAACAAAAAUUAUUAUGACGUCAGGAAGCCAUGCGUGGGGAGCCUAUGCUAUGAUUUUUCUAACUUGGAGAAGUUUCUCAAUCUGAAAUCUGUCAGACAGAGCCUAGGCGUUGGAGACAUAGAGUUUGUUUCCUGCAGCCCGACCGUCUAUCAGGCUAUGCUCUUAGAUUGGAUGAGGAACCUUGAAGUUGGGAUCCCUGAACUCCUUGAGAACGACAUCAAAGUGCUGAUUUAUGCUGGAGAGUAUGAUCUCAUAUGCAACUGGCUAGGAAACUCAAGAUGGGUAGACUCUAUGGAAUGGUCUGGAAAGAAAGCCUUCGUGUCCUCGGUGGAGAAACCCUUCGCGGUUGAUGGAAAAGAAGCCGGCAUUCUAAAAAGCCACGGCCCUUUGAGUUUUCUGAAGGUCCACGAUUCUGGUCACAUGGUACCCAUGGAUCAACCGAAGGCCGCCUUGGAGAUGCUCAAGAGGUGGAUGUCAGGAAACCUUUCAGACGCCUCCCCGAGCUCUCAGAGGCUCGACUUCGCCAUAUAA
Molecule: ribosomal RNA, 690 nt
Filed under: Triticum aestivum (bread wheat)
Lineage: Eukaryota; Viridiplantae; Streptophyta; Magnoliopsida; Poales; Poaceae
Description: partial small subunit ribosomal RNA
Source: RNAcentral